This 174-nucleotide small RNA is filed under the name uncultured Muribaculum sp. RNAcentral describes it as "Bacteroidales-1 6S-Bacteroidales RNA suggested". It matches the Rfam family "Bacteroidales-1 6S-Bacteroidales RNA suggested". Lineage: Bacteria; Pseudomonadati; Bacteroidota; Bacteroidia; Bacteroidales; Muribaculaceae. The record is from RNAcentral.
GUUGAUUGGGAAACUCAUCAAAUUUUUAUGAAAUACCGAGACAAGCUUAGCUGUCUGAUGGCGGGCCCCAUCCUCAUUAAUUUGGGGAGGCUUAUUGCCCAGGCGGAUUACAAAGGACGGCGAGCGCUCAAAUCCUGUCAUUCGGAGUUUCAUCGCAUCCUUUGAUGUGGACUU